This 480-nucleotide ribosomal RNA is filed under the name uncultured bacterium. RNAcentral describes it as "bacterial SSU rRNA". It matches the Rfam family "Bacterial small subunit ribosomal RNA", at positions 29 to 509 of the family's 1533-position model. The record is from RNAcentral.
AACGAACGCUGGCGGCGUGGAUAAGACAUGCAAGUUGAACGCUAAUUUCGGUGUAGCAAUACAUCGGAGUUGGAGUAGCGCAAGGGUGCGUAACACGUGGGUAAUUUGCCGUGAAGUUGGGGAUAACUCGCUGAAAGGCGAGCUAAUACCGAAUGUGAAGUUUGGGUGGCAUCACCUGACCUUUAAAGCUGGGGAUCGUAAGACCUGGCGCUUUAUGAUAAGCCCGCGGCCAUCAGCUAGUUGGUGAGGUAACGGCUCACCAAGGCUAAGACGGGUAGCUGGUCUGAGAGGACGACCAGCCACACUGGGACUGAGACACGGCCCAGACUCCUACGGGAGGCAGCAGUGGGGAAUCUUGGACAAUGGGCGCAAGCCUGAUCCAGCCAUGCCGCGUGGGUGAUGAAGGCCUAGGGUUGUAAAGCCCUUUCGGCGGGAAGAUAAUGACGAUACCCGCAGAAGAAGCCCGGCUAACUUCGUGCC